AGUCGCCAUCAGAUAUAUCGGAGCGGCCGAGGUGCUCACAAAUAUCUGAACACGACUCUAUUGACAAGGCGCGAGAGUGCGUGUUUAGAUAUUUAUACAUGACGCGGCCAUGGUAGUGUCUUUCAGAAAACAGAGCUUACUUUAUUUAAUGUUUUAAACUCGAUGCCAUUUUUCUACACUUGUAUUUUGUAUGUGUAAAAAAAAUCGUAAGUUAUCUUUUUUCACUUAAUGCUUCGAAAAAACUUCGCAAUCGAGUGGGGUAAUGAUAAAAACUUAAUUUCACCCCAUUUCUGGGGUAAAAUAAAAGAUUAGAUCUGUUUUACCCCACUUAAUUUUGUGUUUUAAAUAUUAUUGGCAGUAAUAAUGUUUUAAACAAUUAUUAUUUUUUUAAUCGAUCACCGUAAAGAACAAUAAUGUGAAAUGAUGUUUAAGUUUGAGUUGAAUUUGUGGCCAAAAAUGCUGAAAGGACCAUUGGCAACUUUGUAUGGAGCCUGGACCCAACGCCAACAGAAAUGAGAGUAAGGUCAUUAGACAGGUAUUUCUAUGUACUUCAUUUUGUUCUAUGGGCACCAAGCGGAAUUCCAUUGCAGAACUGAGAUAUUGGUAUUUUAGCCAAAAUGUCGUCACCCAUAUUAUAGAGUCCAAGUAAGUAAAUUAAUUGCUGUAGGGUAGAUGUUCGCGCAUCGCCGGGCGAGCACACCGAAUGAUUUGCCGCACUCGCCCGGCGGUGGACUCUAUUGCCUAGGUAAUAAGGGUGACGACAUUUUGACUAAAAUACCAAUAUCUCAGUUCUGCAAUGGAAUUCCGCUUGGUGCCUAUAGAACGAAAUGACGUACAGAGAAAUACCUAUCUAAUGACCUAACUCUCAACUCUGUUGGUUUUGGGGCCAUUUUGACGCAUAGUCCUUUAUAUCGAAGUAAAUAAAGGUGAAACAUAUCAACUCACAGAUAGGUAGGUAGAUUUUCCCUUAUAUGUUGACAAGGGACGAAAAUACUUAAUUUUGCUACUUUGGUCAUUUCAGUAUUUUUGCGCUGAUCGCUUCUCAAUUAUGUUUUAAAAAUAAAUGUAUGAAUUCCCUUUUACGGAAGGCUGUGCUAAGUAAAGUUGCGGUUUUGAACCGCCUUUGACGGUUACAGCGGAAAUCGAAAUUCGAAAAUAUAUAUCUGCGUCUCUAUUGCUCUUGCUUAGUUCGAGUGAGAUAGACAAUAGGCAGAUAAACAAUUUUCGAAGAAGCGGCCGCCCUUGUCUCAAUAGAACGUCAGUUAUUUUGUUAUGCACACGAUUAAUGUAUAAAAUAAAUAUAUUAUUUGUAUUA
Long non-coding RNA from Cydia splendana, 1315 nucleotides. RefSeq lists it as uncharacterized. The record is from RefSeq and is a predicted model, not a curated record. Lineage: Eukaryota; Metazoa; Arthropoda; Insecta; Lepidoptera; Tortricidae. The transcript is spliced from 2 exons.